This 876-nucleotide ribosomal RNA is filed under the name Triticum aestivum (bread wheat). RNAcentral describes it as "partial small subunit ribosomal RNA". The record is from RNAcentral. Lineage: Eukaryota; Viridiplantae; Streptophyta; Magnoliopsida; Poales; Poaceae.
AUGUUCAUCAUGACAUCAUCGGCGGCGCUUCCGUGGCUCCUGCCUCGUUCUUCCGACGAGGGCGGUGGUGUCCAUCGUACCGCCGUCUACCUGAGGCUCUACCUUGUCGCCCUUUGCACUGGCGGAAUCAAGCCCUGCGCCACGGCCCUUGGCGCCGAUCAGUUCGACGGCGCGGACCCGGCGGAGCGCGUGGGCAAGGGCUCCUUCUUCAACUGGUACUACUUCUCGAUCAACAUUGGCUCGCUGCUGUCGGCGACGUUGCUCGUCUGGGUGCAGGACAACAUCGGGUGGACCGUCGGGUACGCAAUCCCGACGGUGCUCAUAGGAUUCGGCCUCGCCGUGUUCGUCUCCGGUGGGAAGAUUUACAGGUACAGGCCACUGGGAGUGGGAGGGAGCCCACUGACAAGGGUCUCCCAGGUGGUCGUCGUAGCAGCAAGGAAUUGCCGUCUCGAGCUGCCCGAUGACACCUCGGCCCUGCACGAAAAUGGCAAUGCUCAGCACACCGGGCAGUUCAGGUUCUUUGACAAGGCUGCGAUCGUGCUGGCGUCGUCAGAGAAGAAGGGCCCGUGGCGGCUCUGCACGGUGUCGCAGGUGGAGGAGCUGAAGAUGCUGCUGCGGAUGUCACCCGUUUGGGCGUCGAUGCUCGUCUUCUUCGCGGUCACCUCUCAGAUGUCAACCACGCUGAUCGAGCAGGGUAUGGCCAUGGACAAUCGUGUUGGCGCUUUUGUCGUGCCGCCGGCGUCGCUCUCCACCUUUGACAUUAUCAGCGUUCUCAUCUGGGUUCCCCUCUACGACGCCGUGCUGGUGCCGCUCGCACGGCGCGUCACCGGCGAGCACAGGGGAUUCACGCAGCUGCAGCGUUUAUUUCUCGGUAUU